RNA transcript from Drosophila persimilis, 1486 nucleotides. It is a transcript of the gene named aquaporin AQPcic, with no coding region annotated. Lineage: Eukaryota; Metazoa; Arthropoda; Insecta; Diptera; Drosophilidae. The record is from RefSeq and is a predicted model, not a curated record. The transcript is spliced from 5 exons.
GCGGAUCGCCUCCAAGCGAACCGAUUCCUGGCCCCAAAAAUAAAAGUAACCAGCAUCUGUUUUGUUGUCGAGUGUAAGCGUAUGUGAGUGUUGUCUUUUGCUGUUGAGUGUAGAAGUGAAUCUGUUAGCAAGUGCAAAGGUGCCAAGUGUGUGGAAGCCAGAAAAAAAAACAAGCCCCGUCGUCAGUCCCUGUUGGAACGUUGAUCGCAGAAGAUGGGAAAGUUCGAGUACUCGCUGGGCCUCAAUGAGCUCAAGUCAAAGGAGCUGCGUCUGUGGCAGGCCCUGAUCGGGGAGUUCCUGGGCACUCUCAUCCUCAACUUUUUCGCCUGCGGUGCCUGCACCCAAGUGGAGGAUGGCACCUUCAAGGCCUUGGCCUUUGGUCUCUCCAUCUUCAUGGCCAUCACGAUUGUGGGUCACCUGAGCGGCGGACAUGUGAAUCCGGCCGUAACUGUCGGCAUGCUGGUGGCAGGACGAAUCAGUUUCCUGCGUGCCCUGUUCUACAUUGUCUUCCAGUGUCUGGGUGCCAUUGCAGGAACAGCAGCUGUCCGUAUCCUCAUCGAUAGGGACUACUACAAUGGCCUGGGACACACGAGUUUGGCGCAGAACAUCACAGAGCUGCAGGGUCUGGGCAUUGAGUUCUUCCUGGGGCUCCUGCUGGUGCUCACAGUGUUUGGGGCCUGCGAUCCCCACAAGCCGGACUCGCGCUAUACGGCGCCAUUGGCCAUUGGCAUGGCCGUGACCCUGGGUCAUCUGGGCACCAUCCGGUACACGGGAGCCAGCAUGAAUCCCGCACGAACGGUGGGCACGGCCUUUGCCACGGACAACUGGACCUCCCACUGGGUGUACUGGGCUGGACCAAUACUGGGAGGCGUGGCCGCUGCCCUGAUCUACACUCAGGUGCUGGAGGCGAAGCCGGUGCCGAAGACGGCGGAGGCGGCCGAUAAGUACCGCACGCAUGCCGACGAACGUGAGGUGAGAGUCCGAUUGAUAGGCGCCUGGAGCGAAGAUUACUUCUAUUGAGUGUAUGCACUUUCGCUCGAACACACACACACUGACACCACAAACACACACACAUACACAUGCACUUCUGCGCAAGCUGGAGGGUACACGGGACUAUGCUUAGGGACAAAAGGAUCUUAAGCUCCGGCGGUGUGCUACCAGCAAGUGGAAGCGGGAAUCGUGCCAAGGAGAGAAAGAGAGGCGUAGAAGAACAAGAAGCGGAACGAGCGAAACAGAUUUUUGAUGUUUCGCCCCACGUCCCUAACUCAUUCAUUUCAGUGUCUAUACUGUCAUAUUAUUUCUGUGUUCUUGUACUUCUCGAUCGUGUCUAUUUAUGUAUUUAUUUAUGCAAUGUUCAUUUUUUAUCUAACUAAUACUUAUACUUAUACUCUUAAGCAGUGCUAAAAAGAAAUGCAAUCAACCGCACAAAGUACAUGUAUUCUCAUGAGUUCACAAUAAAAUGGAAACAAAUAUUGGAACUAAUUAA